UGGGCGCAAGCCUGAUGCAGCAACGCCGCGUGAGGGACGAAGGCCUUCGGGUUGUAAACCUCUUUUAGUAGGGAAGAAGCGUCUGGGUUUUCCUGGGAGUGACGGUACCUGCAGAAAAAGCACCGGCUAACUACGUGCCAGCAGCCGCGGUAAUACGUAGGGUGCAAGCGUUGUCCGGAAUUAUUGGGCGUAAAGAGCUCGUAGGCGGUUUGUCGCGUCUGCUGUGAAAACCCGAGGCUCAACCUCGGGCCUGCAGUGGGUACGGGCAGACUAGAGUGCGGUAGGGGAGAUUGGAAUUCCUGGUGUAGCGGUGGAAUGCGCAGAUAUCAGGAGGAACACCAAUGGCGAAGGCAGAUCUCUGGGCCGUAACUGACGCUGAGGAGCGAAAGCAUGGGGAGCGAACAGGAUUAGAUACCCUGGUAGUCCAUGCCGUAAACGUUGGGAACUAGAUGUGGGGACCAUUCCACGGUCUCCGUGUCGCAGCUAACGCAUUAAGUUCCCCGCCUGGGGAGUACGGCCGCAAGGCUAAAACUCAAAGGAAUUGACGGGGGCCCGCACAAGCGGCGGAGCAUGCGGAUUAAUUCGAUGCAACGCGAAGAACCUUACCAAGGCUUGACAUAUACCGGAAACGGCUGGAAACAGUCGCCCCGCAAGGUCGGUAUACAGGUGGUGCAUGGUUGUCGUCAGCUCGUGUCGUGAGAUGCUGGGUUAAGUCCCGCAACGAGCGCAACCCUCGUCCUAUGUUGCCAGCACGUAAUGGUGGGAACUCAUGGGAUACUGCCGGGGUCAACUUGGAGGAAGGUGGGGAUGACGUCAAAUCAUCAUGCCCCUUAUGUCUUGGGCUUCACGCAUGCUACAAUGGCCGGUACAAAGGGCUGCGAUACCGCAAGGUGGAGCGAAUCCCAAAAAGCCGGUCUCAGUUCGGAUUGAGGUCUGCAACUCGACCUCAUGAAGUCGGAGUCGCUAGUAAUCGCAGAUCAGCAACGCUGCGGUGAAUACGUUCCCGGGC
This 1009-nucleotide ribosomal RNA is filed under the name uncultured Cryobacterium sp. RNAcentral describes it as "bacterial SSU rRNA". It matches the Rfam family "Bacterial small subunit ribosomal RNA", at positions 372 to 1379 of the family's 1533-position model. The record is from RNAcentral. Lineage: Bacteria; Bacillati; Actinomycetota; Actinomycetes; Micrococcales; Microbacteriaceae.